AUGAAGAUUGGUCCAACCAAACUUGGUGGCUCCCCUGUUCGUCGUAGUCCACGGGUUUUGACAAAUAAGAAGCCUUCUUCUCCUCCUCUUCGAGAGCGCUGUUUGUUGAAAGAAAAUAAUAAGCGUAAAGUUCAUCCUGCGAAGGUGAACAAAGGUGUGAAGAAGCGUGCUCGUGUCGAAGCUGAAGAUGUUGUAUCUGAAGAAGAUGAUAUCGAAGUUGAUUCUGAAGAUGAAUUUGCAGUGCCUGUUAGCGUUAUGAGUCCGGUCAAGCCGGUGGGACGCAAUGCCGGAAAAGAUGCCUUGGAUGAAGAUCUUGAUACAAUGACUCUUGACAUGGGUGAGGCUAAUAAGAAGCUUCGCAUCACUAGUGAUGGUAUACAUCAAUUAUUUGGGUUCCCUCGUGGUGGUCGUUCUCCGCCAAGGCAUUCAGAGGAUGGAUACAACGACACUCUGAUGAAGUUAAGAUCGAAGCUUGACAUUAGCAGGAACAAAGAUAUCAAGACAAAGGAUUUGAGGAAUAAGCUCAAGGUGCUCGUCAAGGAUCCUAGCAAAGAUGACCUUGCUCUGAAAGUGUUCUUCAUUAUUGUGUUUAUGAAGGUUGUGUUGCCUGGUGUCGCCCCGCGUGUUUCUAGAAAGGCAGCAAUGUUUGAUGGUCUCGUCUUUGAGGACAUGGCUAAUAUGGAUUAUUGUCAUCUGAUGGUUGAUGAGCUUAGAAGGGCUGUUAUCAGGUACCAAGAUGGUGUUACCAUGGGGAAGGCAAUCACAGGCUGUGCUAUAGGGCCUGCACUAAUGUACCUUGACUGCCUUAUCCGUGGCAAGACUGCGGAGCCUGACAUGCGAGUCCCCCGCAUAUGUUUCAUGGAUCCUGUUAAGCUUUCUGAUCUGGUUGAUGCAGAUUUGAUAAAAAAAGGCAAUGCAGAUCCAAAGACUUGGGUUUUUAGGAAGCUUCCGUGGAAAACUCAAGAGGAGGUUGUCUUUUUCCGAGUGUAUAAACGGCCAGUCCUGGAGAUGUUGUCGUCACAGGUUCCCAAGUCUUCAUCUCUGCACGAUGAGUUGAGAGGUGGCUGUGGUGUUGAGGGUGCUGGAUAUGAUCCCCCUGGCCCUAGUAAUGCUAGUACUUCACAGAGGCAGGGUUUUGGUAUUGAUGUUGCUAUUUCUGCAUUGCAGCGCGUUGAGCAUAUUUUUAGAAAUGUGUGUUCUGAGCUGCAAAAGGUCCCAACGACAGUUGAGCGUCUGAGCUGUAUCAAUGGUAUCCUUCCUGAAGGUCAUCAAUUUAACGCUGAGGAAGUAGUGGACUAUAUUGAGAUGGAGAGAAUUUUAAUUGGUGAUAUGCGUGACGGUGCUGCUGAUCUAGUUCAGAGCUCGGUUCGGCUAUUGAACAAAAUGAGGUGUUCCAAAACUAUGCAAGACUCUCGCUGCAAGCCAUAUGAAGAAAGUGCAAAAGUUGUUAUCAGGCAGAUUGAGCAGGAUGAGGCUGCUGCCACCAACAGCAGGGCUGGUGAUGGUACUGAGGCUAAUGUUCCUGAUCAUGAAACGAAUGAUGUUGGCUUGGAGCGCGCUGUUGAUGAUAUUGAGCAGGAUGAGGCUGCUGCCAUGACAGCAGGGCUGUUGAUGGUACUGAGGUUAAUGUUUCUGAUCACCAUACGAAUGAUGUUGGCUUGGAGCAGCCUGUUGUUGAUGAGACCAUUCAUAAUGUUAACGCUGUUGUUGACCGUGGAGUUAAUGAUCCACCUACUGAUAAGUGCAAGGUCCUGUUGUUGGCGAUGA
This 1767-nucleotide ribosomal RNA is filed under the name Triticum aestivum (bread wheat). RNAcentral describes it as "partial small subunit ribosomal RNA". Lineage: Eukaryota; Viridiplantae; Streptophyta; Magnoliopsida; Poales; Poaceae. The record is from RNAcentral.